Molecule: transfer RNA, 65 nt
Filed under: Vargula hilgendorfii (sea firefly)
Lineage: Eukaryota; Metazoa; Arthropoda; Ostracoda; Myodocopida; Cypridinidae
Description: tRNA-Leu
Source: RNAcentral
ACUAAUUGAGCACGAGAGUGCAUUGAACUUAAGCUUCAAAGGCAACGAACACAUCGUAAUUAGUA